RNAcentral lists this ribosomal RNA (467 nucleotides) under uncultured bacterium. RNAcentral's name for it is "partial 16S ribosomal RNA". It matches the Rfam family "Bacterial small subunit ribosomal RNA", at positions 28 to 506 of the family's 1533-position model. The record is from RNAcentral.
GACGAACGCUGGCGGCGUGCUUAACACAUGCAAGUCGAACGGAAAGGCCCUGCUUUUGUGGGGUGCUCGAGUGGCGAACGGGUGAGUAACACGUGAGUAACCUGCCCUUGACUUUGGGAUAACUUCAGGAAACUGGGGCUAAUACCGGAUAGGAGCUCCUGCUGCAUGGUGGGGGUUGGAAAGUUUCGGCGGUUGGGGAUGGACUCGCGGCUUAUCAGCUUGUUGGUGGGGUAGUGGCUUACCAAGGCUUUGACGGGUAGCCGGCCUGAGAGGGUGACCGGCCACAUUGGGACUGAGAUACGGCCCAGACUCCUACGGGAGGCAGGAGUGGGGAAUAUAGCACAAUGGGCGGAAGCCUGAUGCAGCAACGCCGCGUGCGGGAUGACGGCAUUCGGGUUGCAAACCGCUUUCGCCUGCGACGAAGCGUGAGUGACGGUAAUGGGUAAAGAAGCACCGGCUAACUACGU